CAUAUCAUUAAAUAAUUCGAAACCGAUAAUUCGAAUUUACCCUGUAACUACCCUCCCAGUUGAGAAAGCGGGUUAAAAUUUGGUGUACGAUGUUUUCUUUGGAUUGGUUUCGUGUUCGAAAUUCCUAUAUUGAACAGUAAUUGCUGGCUACCUACGUUCGACUGAUGAAAUUAUAUUGGCGUUAUUCCAAUAAGUCAUACUGAUUGUAAGCUAUGGGAUACAUUUGCCAUUAAAUUCACAUUCAAGCUGUCAGGGUCAGAACAUUCAUAUGAUCAGUUCGUAAAAAAGUGACAUCAUUUGAAAGUUAUUUCGUUAAUAUCUCGUUAGGUAUAAAUUUAGCACAUAUGAAGAUCAAUAUAUUUUUGCUUAGAAUUUGAUAUUCUAUCAAUUUAUGAUACAAAAAAUGGGUCAUUCUAUUUAAAAAGAUCAAGCUGAGAAAAGAUAUUCACAAGAAAAGCAAAAUCACGUAUCUUAUGAGAUGUGUCCCUCGACACCAUUUAAAUUCUAUGUCUUAGGCCGCAUUCAGACUAUGCAAUAAAGUUGAACAACUUUCCGUGCAACUUCGGGUCCGAAUUUCUGUGUUUCUGGCCGUGCCUGUACCAGAUCUUUGCAGAAGCGACGUCGAUCGAUUCCUUAUGUUUUUGCGAUCAAAAUGAACCCAAACGCAACAUAAAUUGGACAAUACAGCAUUGCCUCGAAACAAGCAAGUGGUCUCUGCUUCGAAAUAAGCAACUCGCUAUCCCCUCUUCUUUGUUUGAAGUCGCCCGCAAAGUGAGAGGUACGAGAAAUGAAUGAGAGGUCCAUGAAAGCGCGAAGCCGAUGUUUAGGGUAAUACAUAUUCAAUUUCAAUUAAUCAACGAAGAUCAGCGAAGAGGAAUUUGAUAAAAGCUUACUGGAGGAUUCACAUCUGUCCGGAUCGCUAACCGCGAUCACCAAAGCCGAUUCGCUGCGUUUCAAUUACAAUGAUGAGGCACACCGCGAUUGAUCGUGACAAUCGAUUUAAUAAAAGAGAUCAAGUGAUACAUCGCGUCGCGCCAAAGGUACAUCUCAUGAUGAACUCACUGACAAUGAGAAAUAGUUUGCAGUUGAUUGGUAGGAUGAUUGCAAGAGGAAGUACAUUUACGUACGCGCGGUUGACCCCCUGUCGCACUAUUCGCUAAGGGGGGCCGGGCAAUGUGGGACUCAUACAUACCACCCAGAAGGGAUGAUACACUACCCACUAAAACUUCUCCCCUAAGUGUGGGCCGCCGGCACCUUUCACCGCUUCAAGUACCCUAGGACAGGCCUGUCC
Long non-coding RNA from Osmia lignaria (orchard mason bee), 1291 nucleotides. RefSeq lists it as uncharacterized. The record is from RefSeq and is a predicted model, not a curated record. Lineage: Eukaryota; Metazoa; Arthropoda; Insecta; Hymenoptera; Megachilidae.